UACAGAGGUGGCAAGCGUUGUUCGGAAUUAUUGGGCGUAAAGCGUUCGUAGGCGGCCCGGAAAGCCAGAUGUGAAAUCCCACAGCUUAACUGUGGAACUGCAUUUGGAACUUUCGGGCUCGAGGGCGAGAGGGGUAGAAGGAAUUCCAGGUGUAAGGGUGAAAUCUGCAGAGAUCUGGAAGAACACCGGUCGCGAAGGCGUUCUACUGGCUCGCUUCUGACGCUGAGGGACGAAAGCUAGGGUAGCAAACGGG
RNAcentral lists this unclassified non-coding RNA (253 nucleotides) under uncultured bacterium. Its description in RNAcentral is "contains 16S-23S intergenic spacer region". It matches the Rfam family "Bacterial small subunit ribosomal RNA", at positions 524 to 776 of the family's 1533-position model. The record is from RNAcentral.